This 465-nucleotide ribosomal RNA is filed under the name uncultured bacterium. RNAcentral describes it as "partial 16S ribosomal RNA". It matches the Rfam family "Bacterial small subunit ribosomal RNA", at positions 338 to 795 of the family's 1533-position model. The record is from RNAcentral.
CCUACGGGAGGCUGCAGUGGGGAAUAUUGCGCAAUGGGCGAAAGCCUGACGCAGCGACGCCGCGUGAGGGAUGAAGGUCUUCGGAUCGUAAACCUCUGUCAGCAGGGAAGAACGGUCACUGUGCUAAUCAGCAGUGAAUUGACGGUACCUGCAAAGGAAGCACCGGCAAACUCCGUGCCAGCAGCCGCGGUAAUACGGAGGGUGCGAGCGUUAAUCGGAAUUACUGGGCGGAAAGCGCUCGUAGGCGGUAUGUCAAGUCAAGGGUGAAACGCACGCGCUCAACGUGGGAACUGCCUUUGAAACUGGCAGACUGGAGUGUGUGAGAGGAUAGUGGAAUUCCAGGUGUAGGAGUGAAAUCCGUAGAUAUCUGGAGGAACAUCAGUGGCGAAGGCGACUAUCUGGCACAUAACUGACGCUGAUGAGCGAAAGCGUGGGUAGCAAACAGGAUUAGAUACCCCAGUAGUC